AAUAACCUUAUUUUUCAUUUUUCUGUGUUCAACGUUUGACCAUUCGUCUUAUUUGAAAAAAAUUGUACAAAAUCUUUAAAAAAUCAGUCACAUAUAAAGUACUAUUUAUAUUUUAUCAUCUAGUAACAAUAAAAAUAUUAAUCGUAAAAAAAUUUUAAAUAAGAUAAAUGGUCAAAUGUUGGACACGGAAAAAAAAAGGU
Oryza brachyantha (malo sina) is the source of this 200-nucleotide non-coding RNA. Lineage: Eukaryota; Viridiplantae; Streptophyta; Magnoliopsida; Poales; Poaceae. The record is from Rfam.